RNAcentral lists this unclassified non-coding RNA (353 nucleotides) under uncultured fungus. Its description in RNAcentral is "partial contains 5.8S ribosomal RNA and internal transcribed spacer 2". The stretch from base 1 to 133 matches the Rfam family "5.8S ribosomal RNA", at positions 22 to 154 of the family's 154-position model. Lineage: Eukaryota; Fungi. The record is from RNAcentral.
UGGCUCUCGCAUCGAUGAAGAACGCAGCGAAAUGCGAUAAGUAAUGUGAAUUGCAGAAUUCAGUGAAUCAUCGAAUCUUUGAACGCACCUUGCACCCUCUGGUAUUCCGAAGGGUACGCCCGUUUGAGUGUCAUUGUACUCUCAACCCCACGACUUUUUGUUGUGUGGGUUGGACUUGGAUCUCGUCGCGAUUUGCGACCGAUCCGAAAUGUAUCAGCGUGUGUCUGUCGUGACGAUAAACCGAUUGUUAAGUUUCAUCGGGCUCGCUCUGUCGAGGUUGUCCGGCAAAAGCACAUGCCAAACCCCCUUCAUUUUGACAAUUUGACCUCAAAUCGGGUGGGAUCACCCGCUGA